AGUGAACGCUGGCGGUAGGCCUAACACAUGCAAGUCGAACGGCAGCACAGUAAGAGCUUGCUCUUACGGGUGGCGAGUGGCGGACGGGUGAGGAAUACAUCGGAAUCUACUUUUUCGUGGGGGAUAACGUAGGGAAACUUACGCUAAUACCGCAUACGACCUACGGGUGAAAGCAGGGGAUCUUCGGACCUUGCGCGAUUGAAUGAGCCGAUGUCGGACUAGCUAGUUGGCGGGGUAAAGGCCCACCAAGGCGACGAUCCGUAGCUGGUCUGAGAGGAUGAUCAGCCACACUGGAACUGAGACACGGUCCAGACUCCUACGGGAGGCAGCAGUGGGGAAUAUUGGACAAUGGGCGCAAGCCUGAUCCAGCCAUACCGCGUGGGUGAAGAAGGCCUUCGGGUUGUAAAGCCCUUUUGUUGGGAAAGAAAAGCGGCAGGUUAAUACCCCGCUGUUCUGACGGUACCCAAAGAAUAAGCACCGGCUAACUUCGUG
This 492-nucleotide ribosomal RNA is filed under the name uncultured bacterium. RNAcentral describes it as "partial 16S ribosomal RNA". It matches the Rfam family "Bacterial small subunit ribosomal RNA", at positions 29 to 507 of the family's 1533-position model. The record is from RNAcentral.